Molecule: non-coding RNA, 255 nt
Filed under: Limosilactobacillus fermentum
Lineage: Bacteria; Bacillati; Bacillota; Bacilli; Lactobacillales; Lactobacillaceae
Source: RNAcentral
UAAGUUGCUGAGAACAGAUGAGUAACUAGUUGGCCCCCACCCAGAGAUGUGGGGGAGCUGAGAACCACGGGGUGGCUAACUAGUGAAGAUGGUCUGGGAGCAAGUUCGACCAGUGAAUUCAUUAACUGGUGGCGGUUGGGCCCGUUAUCACCCCGGGUAUCUCCGUUUGGACGUACCUCGUGAGGGUUUUGCCGUGAGGGAGAACCGAAUUAGGGUGGUAACACGCUUUUAAGAUAACUUGAAUGCGUCCCUAGA